RNAcentral lists this transfer RNA (77 nucleotides) under Verrucomicrobiota bacterium. RNAcentral describes it as "tRNA-Pro". It matches the Rfam family "tRNA". From Rfam's summary of the family: Transfer RNA (tRNA) molecules are approximately 80 nucleotides in length. Their secondary structure includes four short double-helical elements and three loops (D, anti-codon, and T loops). Further hydrogen bonds mediate the characteristic L-shaped molecular structure. tRNAs have two regions of fundamental functional importance: the anti-codon, which is responsible for specific mRNA codon recognition, and the 3' end, to which the tRNAs corresponding amino acid is attached (by aminoacyl-tRNA synthetases). tRNAs cope with the degeneracy of the genetic code in two manners: having more than one tRNA (with a specific anti-codon) for a particular amino acid; and 'wobble' base-pairing, i.e. permitting non-standard base-pairing at the 3rd anti-codon position. The record is from RNAcentral. Lineage: Bacteria; Pseudomonadati; Verrucomicrobiota.
CGGGCUGUGGCUCAGCUUGGUAGAGCGCCUGCCUCGGGUGCAGGAGGUCCCGGGUUCGAAUCCCGGCAGCCCGACCA